GCCUGGAUAGUUCAGUUGGUUAGAGCAAGGCACUGGUAACGCCAAGGUUGCAGGUUCGAACCCUGCAUGGGACA
Non-coding RNA from Podarcis lilfordi (Lilford's wall lizard), 74 nucleotides. The record is from the annotation of a GenBank genome assembly. NCBI's taxonomy places the organism in Eukaryota, Metazoa, Chordata, Lepidosauria, Squamata, Lacertidae.